This 822-nucleotide unclassified non-coding RNA is filed under the name Aspergillus puulaauensis. RNAcentral describes it as "sequence contains 28S rRNA gene". It matches the Rfam family "Eukaryotic large subunit ribosomal RNA", at positions 96 to 935 of the family's 3401-position model. The record is from RNAcentral. Lineage: Eukaryota; Fungi; Ascomycota; Eurotiomycetes; Eurotiales; Aspergillaceae.
AAGCGGCAAGAGCUCAAAUUUGAAAUCUGGCCCCUCCGGGGUCCGAGUUGUAAUUUGCAGAGGAUGCUUCGGGUGCGGCCCCUGUCUAAGUGCCCUGGAACGGGCCGUCAGAGAGGGUGAGAAUCCCGUCUUGGGCAGGGUGCCCGUGCCCGUGUGAAGCUCCUUCGACGAGUCGAGUUGUUUGGGAAUGCAGCUCUAAAUGGGUGGUAAAUUUCAUCUAAAGCUAAAUACCGGCCGGAGACCGAUAGCGCACAAGUAGAGUGAUCGAAAGAUGAAAAGCACUUUGAAAAGAGAGUUAAACAGCACGUGAAAUUGUUGAAAGGGAAGCGCUUGCGACCAGACUCGGCCUCGGGGUUCAGCCAGCAUUCGUGCUGGUGUACUUCCCCGGGGCCGGGCCAGCGUCGGUUCGGGCGGCCGGUCAAAGGCCCCAGGAAUGUAUCGUCCUCCGGGACGUCUUAUAGCCUGGGGUGCAAUGCGGCCAGCCUGGACCGAGGAACGCGCUUCGGCACGGACGCUGGCGUAAUGGUCACAAACGACCCGUCUUGAAACACGGACCAAGGAGUCUAACAUCUACGCGAGUGUUCGGGUGUCAAACCCGUACGCGCAGUGAAAGCGAACGGAGGUGGGAGCCCCUUUGGGGCGCACCAUCGACCGAUCCUGAAGUCUUCGGAUGGAUUUGAGUACGAGCGUAGCUGUGGGGACCCGAAAGAUGGUGAACUAUGCCUGAAUAGGGUGAAGCCAGAGGAAACUCUGGUGGAGGCUCGCAGCGGUUCUGACGUGCAAAUCGAUCGUCAAAUUUGGGUAUAGGGGCGAAAGACUAAU